UGUACACGCUGUGACUAGCAUAUCAAUAAGCGGAGGAAAAGAAACUAACAAGGAUUCCCCUAGUAACGGCGAGUGAAGCGGGAAGAGCUCAAAUUUGAAAUCUUAAAGGGUUUCCCUUUACGAACUGUAGUUUAAAGAAGUGUUUUCUGUUGAGGUUUUGGUAAAAGUUCUUUGGAAUAGGACAUCAUAGAGGGUGAGAAUCCCGUAUUUGACCUUUACUUUCAACUUUGUGAUACACUUUCAAAGAGUCGGAUUGUUUGGGAAUGCAGUCCAAAAUGGGUGGUAAAUUUCAUCUAAAGCUAAAUAUUGGCGAGAGACCGAUAGCGAACAAGUACCGUGAGGGAAAGAUGAAAAGGACUUUGAAAAGAGAGUUAAACAGUACGUGAAAUUGUCAAAAGGGAAGCGUUUGACACCAGUGUUGUUUUUCUGAAAAUCAAUUAAAGAACUGUUUAUGCUAAGCUGUUUAGACUUUAUCAGCUAAUCUGUUUAGUUUUGAGCUUUUCUUUAAUGCACUUUUCAGUUAACAAGUCAACAUCAAUUUCUUUUGCUGUAAAAAAGCUUGAGGAGGGUGGCUUGAGAUUCGUCUUAAGUGUUUAUAGCCUCUUGCCUAUGCAGUCGGAGAGAUUGAGGUCUGCAGCGUAGAUCCUUCGGGGCUAAAUGCAUUUGUGCUAAGUUAUAGCAUUUUAUAGACAACUUGUUGACUAUGAUUUGUCUUGUAGCUUACUCGCUUAUGUUAUUUUACCUACGCUUAGGAUGUUGACGCGCGUGUGUGCGUG
RNAcentral lists this ribosomal RNA (776 nucleotides) under uncultured Neocallimastigales. RNAcentral describes it as "partial large subunit ribosomal RNA". It matches the Rfam family "Eukaryotic large subunit ribosomal RNA", at positions 22 to 639 of the family's 3401-position model. The record is from RNAcentral. Lineage: Eukaryota; Fungi; Neocallimastigomycota; Neocallimastigomycetes; Neocallimastigales.